AUUCUAUGAUGUCAUGGUUCCUUCUCUAUGCGUGUUCUCUUGAGAACCAAGCAGGAUCAAUAGUUUUCAGAAGAACAGAAGUACAGAAAAAAAUGUGUUGUACUGCCCUAGCUCUACCCCUCCCAGGUUAUGACUCCUUCUGUUACUUUUGACUGGGUCCUACCUUCCGUUUUUGGUCCAGUAACAGGGCUGCCAUUUGGGAAUGGAUUCUCAGGCUCUAGUUGCUCCCCAGAAAAGCCUCAGCAAGUCAUUUUACCCUUUGCCUCUCACUCUACAUGGGUCUUUUCGAGAAUAUCUUAAUGAAAUAUUUCCUCAUCCCUGCGGACAAAGAGAUUUUUAUUGUGGGGGUGUCCCAUUAUUUUCCAUCUCAGGGACUCCUCCUUCAUUGUUUCCUUUUCUCUUCUGCUUCUCUUUCAUGGCUGCGCGUUUCUUCUUCCAGUGUUGCGGGCUAGGUCAGCAGCUGCAGGAGAACUUGAUUAGUGCCUUGCCUCAGUGCAGAUGCAUUUCCCUGACAGCAUCGAUCCUGGGUGCUUUCGCUUUGCAGGCAGCUCCACAGAGGAGGAGCUUGUACUGCAAAGGAGGUGGACUGUUGUCUGUUCAAGAUAUGAGUGGGAUCACUAAAACAUGGAAGCAACAAAAGUACCUACACUUCUAUCUCUACCUGACAAGAAAAUAUUGCAAGAUGAAGAAACUGAAGCAUAAAGCAUCUAGAAGACAAGCCACUGCAAGUUUCUGA
RNAcentral lists this long non-coding RNA (736 nucleotides) under Sus scrofa (pig). RNAcentral describes it as "lncRNA (ENSSSCG00025066823.1)". Lineage: Eukaryota; Metazoa; Chordata; Mammalia; Artiodactyla; Suidae. The record is from RNAcentral.